Long non-coding RNA from Pieris brassicae (large cabbage white), 983 nucleotides. RefSeq lists it as uncharacterized. NCBI's taxonomy places the organism in Eukaryota, Metazoa, Arthropoda, Insecta, Lepidoptera, Pieridae. The transcript is spliced from 4 exons. The record is from RefSeq and is a predicted model, not a curated record.
GUUAUAUUUCUUAAAUAAAACGAUAACCGUUUCAACCGGCAGUUCAGUUGCGAAGCUGAUACACUGUUCACAACAGAAUCAAAGAUCAAAAUCAAUUUUCGGGAUUAACAAAAAAAUUAACGAAAAAGAUUCAAAACGUAAACGUAACGUCGGAUGAAUUCUAAUUUCAAACAAAUCAUUUGACUUCAUGCAACAGCUUUCAGAGUGAAUUCUAAACGCCCAAUUCUUAAAUUAGUGAAUAUUUUUUUUAAUAUGCCAAAGUGCUUCUUCUGUGUUAUUUUUUCCAGCCGCGGCCGUACCAUUCUAUUCCGAACUAAACGUGUAAAAUAACCCUUUAAGCAAAGAUACAUUUACUUUCUCCUCGACUUUUGUGUAAACCAUGUAUGAAUCUUAUGCGAUAAGUGAAACGAAAUGUGCCAGAUUUAAAGUUGCAAUUAUUAAGUGAUACAAAGAAAAGAAGCCGACUAUUUCCUAAAGCCCAGGAGGCCCCGGGAAAACGAGCCUGGCUCGUGUAAGUCACGUGUACUUGCUGGCGUACUUUGACCUUCACAAAUCAGGCCUUGACCAAAGAUGCUAUCCUAAUGUUUUCUACGUGAUUUUAAAACAAGACUACAAUUGGAGAAACAAUGUCAUCGUCAAGUGAUUGGUACCGAUCCACAGAUUGCAGGAGGACCUGCUCCAGCUAAAAGCAGCAAUUGGUGCGAGGUGGCACAGGACCUUUAGUAUGCUGGAAGUGAGUCUUACCCCGAGAUAUCGACCAGGGUCAGCUGCCAGGGCCCCCGUUAAACUCCUGCGCAUCAUAAACACGCUAUUAGGAUGACGAGCACGGAGCUACAUGGCUACAUGACCUUAUCGGGAAUGUUUUAGAGUGUUUUCGAAUAUCUUAGAUGUAAGAAAUUUUACACCGAUUGUUUAUAAUGUACUUUUAAUAAAUAUUUUUUGAUGUCUCUGAUACAUUAUACUACCACUUCCACACAUUUUUA